This 929-nucleotide long non-coding RNA is filed under the name Zostera marina. RNAcentral describes it as "long non-coding RNA (ZMAR_LNC002089)". Lineage: Eukaryota; Viridiplantae; Streptophyta; Magnoliopsida; Alismatales; Zosteraceae. The record is from RNAcentral.
UAGCGACGGCCUAAAGACGGUAAGUUGAAACAGAAAGUUCUAAACAAAAAACUAGAGAGGGCCUAGCGACGGCCUAGAGACGGCAAGUUGAAACAGGAAGUUAAAAAAAAAUAUUUAGAGACGGCCCAGGGAGGGCCAUUUUGAAAAUUAGAGACGGCUGAGAGACGACAUUAAAAUUUUAGGCACCAAAAAAUUUGCACGGAAAAAAAAUAAGCGACGGAUUAAAGACGGCUAGGUUCUAAUCCUAUCUAAUCUAAAAUUUUAAUUAGCGACGCCGUUUCUAAUCUUUUCCUAAUAAUUAAAGACGGAUAUGAAGACCAUCUCCAAAAAAUCAGCGAGGCGAGUUUCGGAGAAGGAUUAAAGACGACCAAAAACCGUCGUCAAUCAUCAAUUAGCGACGGUUUUUGAUGAUUAGAGACGGUUUUUGAUGAUUAGAGACGGUUUUUGAUGAUUAGAGACGGUUUCUGACCGUCGCUGAAAGUCAGUAAUUUGGUAGUGUCUAUUGACUCUUUAUCUAUCUAUCUAUCUAUCUAUCUCUUUGUUGGUAUUUUUAUUUUGGUAUGUUUGAUUUUUGUUUAUUUAUGUAUGGAAAUAUUUAUGGUGUUGGAAUGUAUGGAAAUUUGAUUUUGAUUUAUGGUGCUGGAAGCAUACUAUGGUAUGAAUAAAUGAUACGACAAUAAAUUUCUAUGUUUGAAUCUUUUUUUUUGGUUUUUUUAUUUUGGUUUUGUUAUUUUGUGGGUAUGUUUGAUUGUUUUUGGGUAUGUAUGUCUAUGUAUCUAUGUUUGAUUGUAUUUGGGAUUUUAAUUUUGAGAUAACAUUAAUUCAAGUAUCAACUAUCUAUGUUUGUUUGUUAUUGUAAUCUACUGUUUUGAUGAUUGGGUUUAUCUUUGUUUAUUUGUUAUCUAAACUAUCAACUAUCUUUAUCCAAG